GUCGAGAAUCUUUCACAAUGGGGGCAACCCUGAUGGAGCGACGCCGCGUGGAGGAUAAGGUCUUCGGAUUGUAAACUCCUGUCAUGCGUGAACAAGGUUGCUUGGUUAAUACCUGGGCAAAUUGAUGGUAACGCAAGAGGAAGAGACGGCUAACUCUGUGCCAGCAGCCGCGGUAAUACAGAGGUCUCAAGCGUUGUUCGGAAUCACUGGGCGUAAAGGGUGCGUAGGUGGCGUGGCAAGUCAGAUGUGAAAGCCCGGGGCUCAACCUCGGAACUGCAUCAGAUACUGCCAUGCUAGAGUACUGGAGGGGUGACUAGAAUUCUCGGUGUAGCAGUGAAAUGCGUAGAUAUCGAGAGGAAUACCAAAGGCGUAGGCAGGUCACUGGACAGUUACUGACACUGAGGCACGAAGGCCAGGGGAGCGAACGGGAUUAGAUACCCCUGUAGUCC
Molecule: ribosomal RNA, 449 nt
Filed under: uncultured bacterium
Lineage: Bacteria
Description: partial 16S ribosomal RNA
Rfam family: Bacterial small subunit ribosomal RNA
Source: RNAcentral